This 1343-nucleotide ribosomal RNA is filed under the name uncultured bacterium. Its description in RNAcentral is "16S ribosomal RNA". It matches the Rfam family "Bacterial small subunit ribosomal RNA", at positions 28 to 1378 of the family's 1533-position model. The record is from RNAcentral.
GACGAACGCUGGCGGCGUGCUUAACACAUGCAAGUCGAACGGAAAGGCCCUGCUUUUGUGGGGUGCUCGAGUGGCGAACGGGUGAGUAACACGUGAGUAACCUGCCCUUGACUUUGGGAUAACUUCAGGAAACUGGGGCUAAUACCGGAUAGGAGCUCCUGCUGCAUGGUGGGGGUUGGAAAGUUUCGGCGGUUGGGGAUGGACUCGCGGCUUAUCAGCUUGUUGGUGGGGUAGUGGCUUACCAAGGCUUUGACGGGUAGCCGGCCUGAGAGGGUGACCGGCCACAUUGGGACUGAGAUACGGCCCAGACUCCUACGGGAGGCAGCAGUGGGGAAUAUUGCACGAUGGGCGGAAGCCUGAUGCAGCAACGCCGCGUGCGGGAUGACGGCCUUCGGGUUGUAAACCGCUUUCGCCUGUGACGAAGCGUGAGUGACGGUAAUGGGUAAAGAAGCACCGGCUAACUACGUGCCAGCAGCCGCGGUGAUACGUAGGGUGCGAGCGUUGUCCGGAUUUAUUGGGCCUAAAGGGCUCGUAGGUGGUUGAUCGCGUCGGAAGUGUAAUCUUGGGGCUUAACCCUGAGCGUGCUUUCGAUACGGGUUGACUUGAGGAAGGUAGGGGAGAAUGGAAUUCCUGGCGGAGCGGUGGAAUGCGCAGAUAUCAGGAGGAACACCAGUGGCGAAGGCGGUUCUCUGGGCCUUUCCUGACGCUGAGGAGCGAAAGCGUGGGGAGCGAACAGGCUUAGGUACCCUGGUAGUCCACGCUGUAAACGGUGGGUACUAGGUGUGGGGUCCAUUCCACGGGUUCCGUGCCGUAGCUAACGCUUUAAGUACCCCGCCUGGGGAGUACGGCCGCAAGGCUAAAACUCAGAGGAAUUGACGGGGCCCCGCACAAGCGGCGGAGCAUGCGGAUUAAUUCGAUGCAACGCGUAGAACCUUACCUGGGUUUGACAUGGAUCGGGAGUGCUCAGAGAUGGGUGUGCCUCUUUUGGGGUCGGUUCACAGGUGGUGCAUGGCUGUCGUCAGCUCGUGUCGUGAGAUGUUGGGUUAAGUCCCGCAACGAGCGCAACCCUUGUUCACUGUUGCCAGCACGUUAUGGUGGGGACUCAGUGGAGACCGCCGGGGUCAACUCGGAGGAAGGUGGGGAUGACGUCAAGUCAUCAUGCCCCUUAUGUCCAGGGCUUCACGCAUGCUACAAUGGCUGGUACAGAGAGUGGCGAGCCUGUGAGGGUGAGCGAAUCUCGGAAAGCCGGUCUCAGUUCGGAUUGGGGUCUGCAACUCGACCUCAUGAAGUCGGAGUCGCUAGUAAUCGCAGAUCAGCAACGCUGCGGUGAAUACGUUCCCGGG